AUGAAAAAUUCAUAUAAAGUUUGGUGUUUUCAAGUCAAAGAGAUUAGAGUGGGUUUGGAGAGCUUUAGUUUGGAAAAAAAGUAAGAACUUUAUGCAACAAGAGAUUACCAAAUGAAGAAAAAACAGACAUAAAAAUUUACUAAAACGCUCAGAUCUGUUAUGAAAGGGAAACAUGUGAGAAGACUCUGUCAGAAGACUUCCAGGAAAUCUUCUUGGAAGUCUUCUAACACAUUAUAUAUUAGAAGACUUUGAAAGAAAGACUUCCAAGAAGACUUCCCAUAAGUCUUCCAAAGUCUGCUCCAGAAAAACAUGUAUAUCAAACCCAGAUCUGAAAAACAUGCAUAUCAAAAAAUGUUCAAAUGACUAAAAAAACAGAAAAAAUGAGUGGAAUAUUAGAUAGAUCUACCUCUAUAGAACACACAAAAAUACAUAUCUAAAAUUAAUAGAUCUACCUUUAAAUGAGUGGAAGAUAAGAACCAUGCGAUGAAAAACCUGUAAAACAAGAUAAACUAGAGAGAAAGACAUGAGACAAAAAAACAAUAAAUUGAUAGAAAGUUUAGUGUUUAUAAGUUCAAAGAGAUUAGAGAGAAGUUGGAGAGUUUAAGAAUGAGGAACAUAACAUUUUUUGUUUCAACCAUUUGAGAGGAGGAGAGAGAAUGUAUAAAUAUUUCUUUAUAUAUGGAGACAAAAAUUCCAAUAGGUUUAAAUAUUUUCGAUUCAGAAGACUUUCAAGUAAGUCUUCUAAUAGAAGAAUUCCUAGACUAAUUACUUGUAAGUCGCCCAGAAGCAGUGUUUUGAAACCUGACCCGGACCCGCGGUUGAACUGGUAAACGCGGAGACCGAGAAAAAUCCGGUUUGAGUUUUGCAAAAAACCCAAUCUUUAGAAACCCACAAAAACCCACUAAAACCCAGAACCCGAUACCGGUUGAACCAAUAAAUAACUUUUACUUCUUUUUUUAAUUUUUAGAUUAUGUUUAAUAUUCUAAGUUUCCAAUAAAUAAGUUAGGUGCUGACAAAAAAAAAGAAGGUUUUUUUUCCCUUUGCAGUUAUAUAUUUAUGAUUUUUUUUUAUUUUGAUGAAGAUUUCACUAUGCCACCGAAGAAAAUAAAGUGAACGAUGGUAGAGAGAA
RNAcentral lists this long non-coding RNA (1129 nucleotides) under Brassica napus (rape). RNAcentral describes it as "long non-coding RNA (BNAP_LNC004420)". The record is from RNAcentral. Lineage: Eukaryota; Viridiplantae; Streptophyta; Magnoliopsida; Brassicales; Brassicaceae.